AAGAAUCAGCCCCUGAGGUCUCCAGGAAGUACCUUGAUUUGAAAGAGCUGUGACCAACCUCAGUGGCAUCUCCAACUACCACGCUGCAGAAGUCUGUGAGGCCGUGGUCCUCAGCCCUUUGCACAGAUUAAAACCCCAAUCCCAGCCGCACCCCAGACCAAUCAAUCAGGAUCUCUGGAGAUGGGGCCCAGGCAUCUAUAUAUAUAUAUAUAUAUAUAUUUUUUUUUUUUUUAAUUCCUCAGAUGAUUCCAAUGUACAGCCAAUGAUGAGCAGCUGCUGGGCUGAAGGGACUGGGGCCAUUUUAUACCAGUUGUAGGAUGUUACACAGAAAUGCCUGAAAAGCAAGGAGCAGCUAUCAGAAUGUUUGGUGACACAGCUCCUCCUGUCGUGGUUCCUUCGGCAUGGACUUCACAUUCAGCAGAUCCAUGAGGUGUUCCCUUUCGGAUGAGCUCCAAGGUCUUAAGAGAGCAUCUCUAGUCUGCGUGAGUCCGUCUGAACGACGGUCCUGAGCAAGAACCACCUAUAACCAUCUACUCAAAAUAACUCAGGGGAAAUCAAAGCUUUCUAUGUGGAAGGUGACUGAAACCACAUACACAGACCACUGCAGCAUUCCUGACAUUAUGGAACUUGGAAAUGAUUCCAAACAUGGCCAUAGCUUGAGUAACAUGUUUUGCUAUGACAAGAACUUGGAGUGUAGUCCUUCCCCCCCUCAAGAAUGUGACAUCACACCUUAUCAGAUCCUACGAGUGAGCUACUGACCUCAACCACUGAACUUCAAACUAUAUAAAAACCUAAGGGUUUGACAGACAC
This 810-nucleotide long non-coding RNA is filed under the name Pan troglodytes (chimpanzee). RNAcentral describes it as "lincRNA". The record is from RNAcentral. Lineage: Eukaryota; Metazoa; Chordata; Mammalia; Primates; Hominidae.